AAGGCGACGACGGGUAGCCGGCCUGAGAGGGUGUCCGGCCACACUGGGACUGAGAUACGGCCCAGACUCCUACGGGAGGCAGCAGUGGGGAAUAUUGCACAAUGGGCGCAAGCCUGAUGCAGCGACGCCGCGUGGGGGAUGACGGCCUUCGGGUUGUAAACCUCUUUCACCAUCGACGAAGGUCCGGGAUUUCUCGGAUUGACGGUAGGUGGAGAAGAAGCACCGGCCAACUACGUGCCAGCAGCCGCGGUAAUACGUAGGGUGCGAGCGUUGUCCGGAAUUACUGGGCGUAAAGAGCUCGUAGGUGGUUUGUCGCGUUGUUCGUGAAAUCUCACGGCUUAACUGUGAGCGUGCGGGCGAUACGGGCAGACUAGAGUACUGCAGGGGAGACUGGAAUUCCUGGUGUAGCGGUGGAAUGCGCAGAUAUCAGGAGGAACACCGGUGGCGAAGGCGGGUCUCUGGGCAGUAACUGACGCUGAGGAGCGAAAGCGUGGGGAGCGAACAGGAUUAGAUACCCUGGUAGUCCACGCCGUAAACGGUGGGUACUAGGUGUGGGUUUCCUUCCUUGGGAUCCGUGCCGUAGCU
Molecule: ribosomal RNA, 585 nt
Filed under: uncultured bacterium
Lineage: Bacteria
Description: bacterial SSU rRNA
Rfam family: Bacterial small subunit ribosomal RNA
Source: RNAcentral